GACGAACGCUGGCGGCGUGCUUAACACAUGCAAGUCGAACGGAAAGGCCCUGCUUUUGUGGGGUGCUCGAGUGGCGAACGGGUGAGUAACACGUGAGUAACCUGCCCUUGACUUUGGGAUAACUUCAGGAAACUGGGGCUAAUACCGGAUAGGAGCUCCUGCUGCAUGGUGGGGGUUGGAAAGUUUCGGCGGUUGGGGAUGGACUCGCGGCUUAUCAGCUUGUUGGUGGGGUAGUGGCUUACCAAGGCUUUGACGGGUAGCCGGCCUGAGAGGGUGACCGGCCACAUUGGGCCUGAGAUACGGCCCAGACUCCUACGGGAGGCAGCAGGGGGGAAUAUUGCACAAUGGGCGGAAGCCUGAUGCAGCAACGCCGCGGGCGGGAUGACGGCCUUCGGGUUGUAAACCGCUUUCGCCUGUGACGAAGCGUGAGUGACGGUACUGGGUAAAGAAGCACCGGCUAACUACGUG
RNAcentral lists this ribosomal RNA (468 nucleotides) under uncultured bacterium. RNAcentral describes it as "partial 16S ribosomal RNA". It matches the Rfam family "Bacterial small subunit ribosomal RNA", at positions 28 to 507 of the family's 1533-position model. The record is from RNAcentral.